GCUACAUGUAGAUGUCACGGUCCCUCGAAUCGCAAGAUCGGGGGCUAAGAGGGAAGCCGGUGCGGCGCGAGCCAAAGCCGGAGCUGCCCCCGCAACUGUAAGCGGUGAGCCGACGUCCAGCCUUUGUCACUGAGGCCGAAAGCCUCGGGAAGACGGACCGAAGCGACGAUCCGCGAGCCAGGAGACCUGCCGCGACAACAGAACGUCU
This 208-nucleotide non-coding RNA is filed under the name Rhodopseudomonas palustris. The record is from RNAcentral. Lineage: Bacteria; Pseudomonadati; Pseudomonadota; Alphaproteobacteria; Hyphomicrobiales; Nitrobacteraceae. RNAcentral also lists the same sequence under 1 other name.